GAUGAACGCUGGCGGCGUGCCUAAUACAUGCAAGUCGAGCGAACGGACGAGAAGCUUGCUUCUCUGAUGUUAGCGGCGGACGGGUGAGUAACACGUGGAUAACCUACCUAUAAGACUGGGAUAACUUCGGGAAACCGGAGCUAAUACCGGAUAAUAUUUUGAACCGCAUGGUUCAAAAGUGAAAGACGGUCUUGCUGUCACUUAUAGAUGGAUCCGCGCUGCAUUAGCUAGUUGGUAAGGUAACGGCUUACCAAGGCAACGAUGCAUAGCCGACCUGAGAGCGUGAUCGGCCACACUGGAACUGAGACACGGUCCAGACUCCUACGGGAGGCAGCAGUAGGGAAUCUUCCGCAAUGGGCGAAAGCCUGACGGAGCAACGCCGCGUGAGUGAUGAAGGUCUUCGGAUCGUAAAACUCUGUUAUUAGGGAAGAACAUAUGUGUAAGUAACUGUGCACAUCUUGACGGUACCUAAUCAGAAAGCCACGGCUAACUACGUG
This 497-nucleotide ribosomal RNA is filed under the name uncultured bacterium. Its description in RNAcentral is "partial 16S ribosomal RNA". It matches the Rfam family "Bacterial small subunit ribosomal RNA", at positions 28 to 507 of the family's 1533-position model. The record is from RNAcentral.